GACGAACGCUGGCGGCGUGCCUAAUACAUGCAAGUAGAACGCUGAAGCGAGGAGCUUGCUCUUCUUGGAUGAGUUGCGAACGGGUGAGUAACGCGUAGGUAACCUGCCUUGUAGCGGGGGAUAACUAUUGGAAACGAUAGCUAAUACCGCAUAACAAUGGAUGACACAUGUCAUUUAUUUGAAAGGGGCAAUUGCUCCACUACAAGAUGGACCUGCGUUGUAUUAGCUAGUAGGUGAGGUAAUGGCUCACCUAGGCGACGAUACAUAGCCGACCUGAGAGGGUGAACGGCCACACUGGGACUGAGACACGGCCCAGACUCCUACGGGAGGCAGCAGUAGGGAAUCUUCGGCAAUGGGGGCAACCCUGACCGAGCAACGCCGCGUGAGUGAAGAAGGUUUUCGGAUCGUAAAGCUCUGUUGUAAGUCAAGAACGGGUGUGAGAGUGGAAAGUUCACACUGUGACGGUAGCUUACCAGAAAGGGACGGCUAACUACGUG
RNAcentral lists this ribosomal RNA (497 nucleotides) under uncultured bacterium. RNAcentral describes it as "partial 16S ribosomal RNA". It matches the Rfam family "Bacterial small subunit ribosomal RNA", at positions 28 to 507 of the family's 1533-position model. The record is from RNAcentral.